This 64-nucleotide transfer RNA is filed under the name Ophiophagus hannah (king cobra). RNAcentral's name for it is "tRNA-Lys". The record is from RNAcentral. Lineage: Eukaryota; Metazoa; Chordata; Lepidosauria; Squamata; Elapidae.
CACUGAGAAGCUUUUUACAGCAUCAGCCUUUUAAGUUGAAGAAGAAAUUUACUUUCCUUAGUGA